AUGUAAAAGAAAAGGGGACGAGCUUCCUUAUAAAAUAGUUACAGAUGAAGUUUAUGGAAGACACAUGAUUGCUGCCAGGAAAAUAAAGGCAGGAGAGAUUGUUCUUGAGGAUUCACCGAUAACAAUGGGUC
Molecule: long non-coding RNA, 131 nt
Organism: Eurytemora carolleeae
Lineage: Eukaryota; Metazoa; Arthropoda; Copepoda; Calanoida; Temoridae
Exons: 3
Source: RefSeq, a predicted model, not a curated record